RNAcentral lists this ribosomal RNA (501 nucleotides) under uncultured Bacteroidota bacterium. Its description in RNAcentral is "bacterial SSU rRNA". It matches the Rfam family "Bacterial small subunit ribosomal RNA", at positions 382 to 887 of the family's 1533-position model. Lineage: Bacteria; Pseudomonadati; Bacteroidota. The record is from RNAcentral.
CCUGAUCCGUCCGUUCCGCGUGCAUGAUGACGGCCCUCUGGGUUGUAAACUGCUUUUAUUUGGGAAGAAACCCUGGGAUUUAUCCCGGGCUGACGGUACCAAAAGAAUAAGCACCGGCUAAUUCCGUGCCAGCAGCCGCGGUAAUACGGAAGGUGCAAGCGUUAUCCGGAAUCACUGGGUUUAAAGGGUGCGUAGGCGGUUACGUCAGUCAGAAGUGAAAGCUCACAGCUUAACUGUGGAAUUGCUUUUGAUACUGCGUAACUAGAAUCAGGUUGAGGUUGGCGGAAUGUGACAUGUAGCGGUGAAAUGCAUAGAUAUGUCAUAGAACACCAAUUGCGAAGGCAGCUGACUAGACCUGCAUUGACGCUGAGGCACGAAAGCGUGGGGAGCGAACAGGAUUAGAUACCCUGGUAGUCCACGCCCUAAACGAUGCUUACUCGAUGUGUGAAUUAUUGCGCAUCCAAGGGAAACCGUUAAGUAAGCCACCUGGGGAGUACGUUC